RNAcentral lists this ribosomal RNA (540 nucleotides) under uncultured bacterium. RNAcentral describes it as "bacterial SSU rRNA". It matches the Rfam family "Bacterial small subunit ribosomal RNA", at positions 8 to 525 of the family's 1533-position model. The record is from RNAcentral.
AGAGUUUGAUCCUGGCUCAGAACGAACGCUGGCGGCGUGCCUAACACAUGCAAGUCGAACGGAGAUAAGGGGCUUGCUCCUUAUUUUAGUGGCGCACGGGUGAGUAACGCGUGGAUAAUCUACCUUGGAAUCUGGGAUAACAUCUCGAAAGGGGUGCUAAUACCGGAUAAGACCUCGAGCUCUUCGGAGUUUGCGGUAAAAGGGGGCCUCUGUAUAUGCUUCUGUUUCAAGAUGAGUCCGCGUACCAUUAGCUAGUUGGCAGGGUAAUGGCCUACCAAGGCGACGAUGGUUAGCUGGUCUGAGAGGAUGAUCAGCCACACUGGAACUGAGACACGGUCCAGACUCCUACGGGAGGCAGCAGUGGGGAAUUUUGCGCAAUGGGGGAAACCCUGACGCAGCAACGCCGCGUGAGUGAUGAAGGCCUUCGGGUCGUAAAGCUCUGUCAGAGGGAAAGAAGUGUGGGAGGGUUAAUACCCCUUUCACUUGACGGUACCCUCAAAGGAAGCACCGGCUAACUCCGUGCCAGCAGCCGCGGUAAUA